This 440-nucleotide ribosomal RNA is filed under the name uncultured bacterium. Its description in RNAcentral is "partial 16S ribosomal RNA". It matches the Rfam family "Bacterial small subunit ribosomal RNA", at positions 338 to 795 of the family's 1533-position model. The record is from RNAcentral.
CCUACGGGAGGCUGCAGUGGGGAAUAUUGCACAAUGGGGGAAACCCUGAUGCAGCGACGCCGCGUGAGUGAAGAAGUAAUUCGUUAUGUAAAGCUCUAUCAGCAGGGAAGAAAAUGACGGUACCUGAGUAAGAAGCCCCGGCUAACUACGUGCCAGCAGCCGCCGGAAUACGUAGGGGGCAAGCGUUAGCCGGAUUUACUGGGUGGAAAGGGAGCGUAGACGGCAGUGCAAGUCUGGGGUGAAAGGCGGGGGCUCAACCCCCGGACUGCUCUUGAAACUGGACGGCUGGAGUGCAGGAGAGGUAAGUGGAAUUCCUGGUGUAGGGGUGAAAUGCGUAGAUAUUAGGAGGAACACCAGUAGCGUAGGCAGGUUGCUGGGACGGUUCUGACACUAAGGCGCGAAAGCGUAGGGAGCAAACGGGAUUAGAUACCCGGGUAGUC